GAGUUUGAUCUUGGCUCAGGAUGAACGCCGGCGGUGUGCCUAAUACAUGCAAGUCGUACGCACUGGCCCAACUGAUUGAUGGUGCUUGCACCUGAUCGACGAUGGAUCACCAGUGAGUGGCGGACGGGUGAGUAACACGUAGGUAACCUGCCCUGUACAGGGGAUAACAAUCAGAAUGACUGCUAAUACCGCAUAAGACCACAGCACCGCAUGGUGCAGGGGUAAAACUCCGGUGGUACAGGAUGGACCCGCGUCUGGAUUAGCUGGUUGGUGAGGUAACGGCUCACCAAGGCGACGAUCAGGUAGCCGGCUUGAGAGA
Molecule: ribosomal RNA, 319 nt
Filed under: uncultured microorganism
Description: bacterial SSU rRNA
Rfam family: Bacterial small subunit ribosomal RNA
Source: RNAcentral